AGAGAAGCUUGCUUCUCUUGUGAGAGCGGCGGACGGGUGAGUAAUGCCUAGGAAUCUGCCUGGUAGUGGGGGAUAACGUUCGGAAACGGACGCUAAUACCGCAUACGUCCUACGGGAGAAAGCAGGGGACCUUCGGGCCUUGCGCUAUCAGAUGAGCCUAGGUCGGAUUAGCUAGUUGGUGAGGUAAUGGCUCACCAAGGCGACGAUCCGUAACUGGUCUGAGAGGAUGAUCAGUCACACUGGAACUGAGACACGGUCCAGACUCCUACGGGAGGCAGCAGUGGGGAAUAUUGGACAAUGGGCGAAAGCCUGAUCCAGCCAUGCCGCGUGUGUGAAGAAGGUCUUCGGAUUGUAAAGCACUUUAAGUUGGGAGGAAGGGUUGUAGAUUAAUACUCUGCAAUUUUGACGUUACCGACAGAAUAAGCACCGGCUAACUCUGUGCCAGCAGCCGCGGUAAUACAGAGGGUGCAAGCGUUAAUCGGAAUUACUGGGCGUAAAGCGCGCGUAGGUGGUUUGUUAAGUUGGAUGUGAAAUCCCCGGGCUCAACCUGGGAACUGCAUUCAAAACUGACUGACUAGAGUAUGGUAGAGGGUGGUGGAAUUUCCUGUGUAGCGGUGAAAUGCGUAGAUAUAGGAAGGAACACCAGUGGCGAAGGCGACCACCUGGACUAAUACUGACACUGAGGUGCGAAAGCGUGGGGAGCAAACAGGAUUAGAUACCCUGGUAGUCCACGCCGUAAACGAUGUCAACUAGCCGUUGGAAGCCUUGAGCUUUUAGUGGCGCAGCUAACGCAUUAAGUUGACCGCCUGGGGAGUACGGCCGCAAGGUUAAAACUCAAAUGAAUUGACGGGGGCCCGCACAAGC
Molecule: ribosomal RNA, 864 nt
Filed under: Pseudomonas sp. CB 286444
Lineage: Bacteria; Pseudomonadati; Pseudomonadota; Gammaproteobacteria; Pseudomonadales; Pseudomonadaceae
Description: bacterial SSU rRNA
Rfam family: Bacterial small subunit ribosomal RNA
Source: RNAcentral